GNGGCUGCUCAGCUACCAUGCAGCCGAGCGGUAGAGAUCUUUCGGGAUCUUGAGAGCGGCGUACGGGUGCGGAACACGUGUGCAACCUGCCUUUAUCUGGGGGAUAGCCUUUCGAAAGGGAGAUUAAUACCCCAUAAUAUAUUUAUCGGCAUCGAUAGAUAUUGAAAACUCCGGUGGAUAGAGAUGGGCACGCGCAAGAUUAGAUAGUUGGUGAGGUAACGGCUCACCAAGUCUGCGAUCUUUAGGGGGCCUGAGAGGGUGAUCCCCCACACUGGUACUGAGACACGGACCAGACUCCUACGGGAGGCAGCAGUGAGGAAUAUUGGACAAUGGGUGAGAGCCUGAUCCAGCCAUCCCGCGUGAAGGACGACGGCCCUAUGGGUUGUAAACUUCUUUUGUAUAGGGAUAAACCUACCCUCGUGAGGGUAGCUGAAGGUACUAUACGAAUAAGCACCGGCUAACUCCGUGCCAGCAGCCGCGGUAAUACGGAGGGUGCAAGCGUUAUCCGGAUUUAUUGGGUUUAAAGGGUCCGUAGGCGGAUCUGUAAGUCAGUGGUGAAAUCUCACAGCUUAACUGUGAAACUGCCAUUGAUACUGCAGGUCUUGAGUGUUGUUGAAGUAGCUGGAAUAAGUAGUGUAGCGGUGAAAUGCAUAGAUAUUACUUAGAACACCAAUUGCGAAGGCAGGUUACUAAGCAACAACUGACGCUGAUGGACGAAAGCGUGGGGAGCGAACAGGAUUAGAUACCCUGGUAGUCCACGCCGUAAACGAUGCUAACUCGUUUUUGGUAUUUCGGUAUCAGAGACUAAGCGAAAGUGAUAAGUUAGCCACCUGGGGGAGUACGUUCGCAAGAAUGAAACUCAAAGGAAUUGACGGGGGCCCGCACAAGCGGUGGAUUAUGUGGUUUAAUUCGAUGAUACGCGAGGAACCUUACCAAGGCUUAAAUGGGAAAUGACAGGUUUAGAAAUAGACUUUUCUUCGGACAUUUUUCAAGGUGCUGCAUGGUUGUCGUCAGCUCGUGCCGUGAGUUGUUAGGUUAAGUCCUGCAACGAGCGCAACCCCUGUCACUAGUUGCCAUCAUUAGUUGGGGACUCUAGUGAGACUGCUACGCAGUAGAGAGAGGUGGGAUGACGUCAAUCAUCACGGCCCUUACGCCUUGGGCCAACACACGUAUAC
This 1175-nucleotide ribosomal RNA is filed under the name Bacteroidota bacterium. RNAcentral's name for it is "bacterial SSU rRNA". It matches the Rfam family "Bacterial small subunit ribosomal RNA", at positions 39 to 1228 of the family's 1533-position model. The record is from RNAcentral. Lineage: Bacteria; Pseudomonadati; Bacteroidota.